UAGAAGAAGUAAGGGGUGUUUGAGCAAAACCACAAACAAUAAAAUGAAAGCUCAAUUAGUUUUAUUUUUCAAUAUUAGUGCAUUAGUUGUAGCAUUAUGCGGUUU
Etheostoma spectabile (orangethroat darter) is the source of this 105-nucleotide long non-coding RNA. RefSeq lists it as uncharacterized. Lineage: Eukaryota; Metazoa; Chordata; Actinopteri; Perciformes; Percidae. The record is from RefSeq and is a predicted model, not a curated record. The transcript is spliced from 4 exons.